UGGGGAAUAUUGCACAAUGGGGGAAACCCUGAUGCAGCGACGCCGCGUGAACGAAGAAGGUAUUCGUAUCGUAAAGUUCUGUCCUAUGGGAAGAUAAUGACAGUACCAUAGAAGAAAGCUCCGGCUAAAUACGUGCCAGCAGCCGCGGUAAUACGUAUGGAGCGAGCGUUGUCCGGGAUUAUUGGGCGUAAAGGGUACGCAGGCGGUUUUAUAAGUCGAAUGUUAAAGAUCGGGGCUCAACCCCGCAAAGCAUUGGAAACUGAUAAACUUGAGUAGUGGAGAGGAAGGUGGAAUUCCUAGUGUAGUGGUGAAAUACGUAGAUAUUAGGAGGAAUACCAGUAGCGAAGGCGACUUUCUGGACACAAACUGACGCUGAGGUACUAAAGCGUGGGGAGCAAACAGG
Molecule: ribosomal RNA, 403 nt
Filed under: bacterium
Lineage: Bacteria
Description: partial 16S ribosomal RNA
Rfam family: Bacterial small subunit ribosomal RNA
Source: RNAcentral